This 1182-nucleotide long non-coding RNA is filed under the name Anas platyrhynchos platyrhynchos (common mallard). RNAcentral describes it as "lncRNA (ENSAPLG00000020703.1)". Lineage: Eukaryota; Metazoa; Chordata; Aves; Anseriformes; Anatidae. The record is from RNAcentral.
CCUGCCGCCCCUUCGGGGCUUUAUUCAACUCCGCUGGAGCGAGCGACGGUGGGCGGAGGUGACAGCCCCCGGCCGGCCGGGGGGACGCGCCGUGCCCCGGGCCCCCAGCGGCUCCUCGGGGGGCUGCCGGCGGCUCCCGGCGGGGGAGGAAGGGAAGGGGAAGGAGAGGGAAGGGGGGCAGCGGGCGGGCGGGCUGAGGGGCCGCCGGGGGGCGGGGGAAGGACGACGACGACGACGAGGAGGAGGAGGAGGAGGAAGGGGGGCGCCGGGCCGGGACGCCGCAGCCUCACAAGCCGCCCUUUGUCCUCCUGCGGGGCCCGGGCUCUGCCCCCCCGGCUCAGCCUCGCGUCCCCACGGCCGGGGGCUUGCGGGGAGCGGCGCCCCCCCUUGCUCCCCUCCCAACCCCGCUACGGCUGCGUCUGCGGGCGCGUUUAUUUUAUUUUCAUUAUUUAUUUAUUUGAUACCCCCCCACACACUACCACCACCACCACCACCACCCCCCCCUCCUUCUCCCGCCCCGGGCGGCCGGGGGCCGCUCCACGUGAUGGCCGGCGCCGCAUUCCUGCACAGCCCCAACUCCGGCCCCGCACCGGGAACUUCGGCCCGCCCCGCCCCCACCCGCUCCCGGGACGGCAAAGGGAUGGGGGGGGGGGGGACACCCCGAAACUUUCCGCUUUUUUAACAAAAAAAAUAAUAAUGAUGAUAAUAAUGAUAACAAGCGGGCGGCGCCGCGCUGCUGCUGCCCGCGCCCGCCUGAGCGGGGCUGGCUGCGGGGCGGGCCGGUGCCCCCGGGCCGUGCCGUGCCCUACCGGGCCAUACAGAGCCCUACCGGGCCAUACAGAGCCAUACGGGGCCCGGCAGCCCGCCCCGGGGCUGUCACCGCGGCAACUUUCGCACCGGGCUCCGCGUGCGGUUGAGUUUGGCUCGCAGCGGGCUGGGGCAUCCCUCCCCCCGCCCCGCACACGCACUCCUCCCUUCCCCGAAAUUUUAGGAUUUUUUUUUUUUUUUUUUGGGGGGCGGGGGGGCCCCCUCCCCGUCCCCCCCCCCCCCCCCCUCCCCCUCCCUCCCCCGCACACCCACGCCGGUCUCGGGCUGCCCACGGCGGCGUUCAACGGGAGAGAGGGCCGGGGAAAGAGAGGGGGGGGGGUGUUGGGGGGGGAAAGGGGGGGAAGGAAGGGAGGG